Molecule: ribosomal RNA, 459 nt
Filed under: uncultured bacterium
Lineage: Bacteria
Description: partial 16S ribosomal RNA
Rfam family: Bacterial small subunit ribosomal RNA
Source: RNAcentral
GAUGAACGCUGGCGGCGCGCCUAACACAUGCAAGUCGAACGGCACCCCUCCUCGUAGGGAAGCGAGUGGCGAACGGCUGAGUAACACGUGGAGAACCUGCCCCCUCCCCCGGGAUAGCCGCCCGAAAGGACGGUUAAUACCGUAUACCCCGGGGUGCCGCAUGGCACCCCGGCUAAAGCCCCGACGGGAGGGGAUGGCUCCGCGGCCCAUCAGGUAGACGGCGGGGUGACGGCCCACCGUGCCGACAACGGGUAGCCGGGUUGAGAGACCGACCGGCCAGAUUGGGACUGAGACACGGCACAGACUCCUACGGGAGGAAGCAGUGGGGAAUCUUGCGCAAUGGGGGGAACCCUGACGAAGCGACGCCGCGUGAGGGACGGAGGCCUUCGGGUCGUAAACCGCUUUCAGCAGGGAAGAGUCAAGACUGUACCUGCAGAAGAAGCCCCGGCUAACUACGUG